This 609-nucleotide ribosomal RNA is filed under the name uncultured bacterium. Its description in RNAcentral is "bacterial SSU rRNA". It matches the Rfam family "Bacterial small subunit ribosomal RNA", at positions 20 to 637 of the family's 1533-position model. The record is from RNAcentral.
UGGCUCAGGAUGAACGCUAGCGGCAGGCCUAAUACAUGCAAGUCGAACGGUGAUAGCAAUAUCAUAGUGGCGCACGGGUGCGUAACACGUAUGCAACCUACCUAUUAUUGGGGGAUAGCCUUUGGAAACGGAGAUUAAUACCGCAUAAUACGAUUGACUGGCAUCGGUUGAUUGUUAAAGCUUUGGCGAUAAUAGAUGGGCAUGCGUCCAAUUAGUUAGUUGGUUAGGUAACGGCUGACCAAGACGAUGAUUGGUAGGGGAUCUGAGAGGAUAAUCCCCCACACUGGCACUGAGAUACGGGCCAGACUCCUACGGGAGGCAGCAGUAGGGAAUAUUGGGCAAUGGGCGGAAGCCUGACCCAGCCAUGCCGCGUGCAGGAAGAAGGCGCUAUGCGUUGUAAACUGCUUUUUUAUAGGAAGAAGGAUCCCUUGCGAGGGAAGGUGACGGUACUAUAAGAAUAAGCACCGGCUAACUCCGUGCCAGCAGCCGCGGUAAUACGGAGGGUGCAAGCGUUGUCCGGAUUUAUUGGGUUUAAAGGGUGCGUAGGCGGUUUAUUAAGUCAGUGGUGAAAGACGGUCGCUCAACGAUUGCAGUGCCAUUGAUACUGGU